Dermochelys coriacea (leatherback sea turtle) is the source of this 578-nucleotide long non-coding RNA. RefSeq lists it as uncharacterized. Lineage: Eukaryota; Metazoa; Chordata; Testudines; Dermochelyidae. The transcript is spliced from 3 exons. The record is from RefSeq and is a predicted model, not a curated record.
AGAAUAGAGGGGAAUGAUCACGUCCCUCGAUCUGCUGGCAAUGCUCCUACUUAUACAGCCCAAAAUGCCAUUAGUCUUCUUGGCAACAAGGGAACCCCGUUGACUCAUAUCCACUGUUGACUCAUAUCCUCUGAUCCUGUAUUAUCUCUAUCUUGUUAUGUGGGUUGGGUCUAUUCUAGCUUUAUCCAUUAUUGUACUAAAGGUAUCUAAGGUUUUACUUUGCCCUCAGUGUGAGUGUUCCUGUCAUCUACCCCAAGACUCCCUGCAAGAUAUUAAACUCCAUAGUGUGAAUUCUGGGUAGCCUGAUUUUAGGGGAAGAACCUUAUCACAGUAAGAUCAAUUGGCCAUUAAGCUAAACGUUAGCAACCUUAAAAAGGGUUAGGCAACAAACAAAAAUCACCAAAGGAAAACAGAGCAGAUGCAUUUUCCUGUUUCUGUACAAGGCACUUUGAGAUGCUUGGAUGGGAGGGCCUACAUUAUUAACCUAGGCCGGCAAAUGAAAGAAAGACCAGCUCAUACCAGUCAAUGGGCUAGAGCUUCUCACCUCUGGCCACUGCAGAAGCUGACAUUUUUGUGUG